RNAcentral lists this small RNA (1088 nucleotides) under Drosophila ananassae. RNAcentral's name for it is "GF26993". Lineage: Eukaryota; Metazoa; Arthropoda; Insecta; Diptera; Drosophilidae. The record is from RNAcentral.
UUAAUUAGACACUCGAGACUAAACACACUCGGCUGUCAUGGUUUGAUUUAAUUUUAUUAUCGUUUUCAUGCAUUUACUUUUUAUGCUAAUUGGGUUUUAGAGGAGUGUCGAGUCAGGUCGGGUAGUAGUAGUGAUUUAUGUCAAACUAGAACGCCCAAAGAGCAAGUCAUUACUAGAGCUCUUAAUCAUUUUCGCAAAUAGUUUUAAAGCAUUCCUUCAAAGGCACAUUAACAGCGCGCAUCUAACUCCUGUGUGGAUCUUCUAUAAGCCACCAAUUAUCACUGCUGUCAAAUGAUCCGCCAAGAUCGCGGCUUUAACAACCAUCCAUCAUCAAGUUAUACGAGUGUUUGCCCAGCAUUUCACACAACCCAGCUACUUCCCUCGCCCUCUCAUGAGCACUCGACUUUUUGAGACGUGUAUGACACAUCGGCAUACUUUGGCCAUCACCGUGUGUGGACUUGAAACAAUAAAAGAUCUGGCAAGAAAGGCAAAUAAGAGCAAAGUAAAUUAUAAACAAAUAAAAGCGGCACGCGAAACUUUGUGGAUGAAGGGUGAGAGCUCAUUACACUCCACGGGCACUCGAAGGGCCCUCCAAAAAUCAUACUUUAUGUUAAUAUGACAAACAAAAUGUUCGAAAACCUCUGUUGUUGUUUCGUGUUUUUCGAAACAGAGACAGCAGUCCACAUCAAAACUGGGAGGUUGCUCAAAAAGUUUAAAUAAAUGCAACAAAAGUCGAGUUUGGAUUUCAAAAACUUAACUUUUUACCCAUUUUAUCGAAUAAUAAUUCAAUCUGGUAGAGGAAACUAACAUUUUCUUGUUGUGUAGCGACCACCAAUCCAAAAAAAGAUCCAUUGUUUGGUUAACUGACUCUCAAAUUGAAACUUUUGAUAGCUUGACGCUGUUUCGUGGCUUUGAAGCUGCCGAAUCAAUAAAUAUUUGAUUUGCUUGUAAGACGGAAAAAAACUUAAAGAUGGAGAGUACUCGAGCCGCUCUUCAUAAAACCCAGGAGUUAAAAGUUUCUUUCUGGCAUUUGAUUUAUUUUCGAGUGAGCGCAAUAAAAGUUUAUCUAUAAUGGAUUUUAAAAUCUA